GACGAACGCUGGCGGCGUGCUUAACACAUGCAAGUCGAACGGAAAGGCCCUGCUUUUGUGGGGUGCUCGAGUGGCGAACGGGUGAGUAACACGUGAGUAACCUGCCCUUGACUUUGGGAUAACUUCAGGAAACUGGGGCUAAUACCGGAUAGGAGCUCCUGCUGCAUGGUGGGGGUUGGAAAGUUUCGGCGGUUGGGGAUGGACUCGCGGCUUAUCAGCUUGUUGGUGGGGUAGUGGCUUACCAAGGCUUUGACGGGUAGCCGGCCUGAGAGGGUGACCGGCCACAUUGGGACUGAGAUACGGCCCAGACUCCUACGGGAGGCAGCAGUGGGGAAUAUUGCACAAUGGGCGGAAGCCUGAUGCAGCAACGCCGCGUGCGGGAUGACGGCCUUCGGGUUGUAAACCG
RNAcentral lists this ribosomal RNA (406 nucleotides) under Cutibacterium acnes. RNAcentral's name for it is "bacterial SSU rRNA". It matches the Rfam family "Bacterial small subunit ribosomal RNA", at positions 28 to 432 of the family's 1533-position model. Lineage: Bacteria; Bacillati; Actinomycetota; Actinomycetes; Propionibacteriales; Propionibacteriaceae. The record is from RNAcentral.